GAUGAAGAACGCAGUGAAAUGCGAUAAGUGAUGUGAAUUGCAGAAUUCAGUGAAUCAUCGAAUCUUUGAACGCACCUUGCACCCUUUGGCAUUCCGAAGGGUAUGCUCGUUUGAGUGUCAUUGUACUCUCACUCUCCCGAUCUUUGGAUCGGGAGUGGUGGACUUGGGUGUUGCUGCUUUACCGUGGCUCACCUCAAAUGGAUUCGUGCAACUCCUGGUUGGACAUAGUACGGCGUGAUAAGUGUCUUCGCCGGCACCUCACUAGAGGGUGGCUGACCGGGAGCUCUGUGCUUCAAACCGUCUUCGGACAACAACUGACAACUUGACCUCAAAUCGAGUAGGACCACCCGCUGAACUUAAGCAUAUCAAUAAGCGGAGGA
This 380-nucleotide unclassified non-coding RNA is filed under the name soil metagenome. Its description in RNAcentral is "partial contains 5.8S ribosomal RNA, internal transcribed spacer 2, and large subunit ribosomal RNA". The stretch from base 1 to 120 matches the Rfam family "5.8S ribosomal RNA", at positions 35 to 154 of the family's 154-position model. The record is from RNAcentral.